RNAcentral lists this transfer RNA (74 nucleotides) under Baekduia soli. RNAcentral describes it as "Rubrobacterineae bacterium BR7-21 tRNA". It matches the Rfam family "tRNA". From Rfam's summary of the family: Transfer RNA (tRNA) molecules are approximately 80 nucleotides in length. Their secondary structure includes four short double-helical elements and three loops (D, anti-codon, and T loops). Lineage: Bacteria; Bacillati; Actinomycetota; Thermoleophilia; Solirubrobacterales; Baekduiaceae. RNAcentral also lists the same sequence under 2 other names. The record is from Rfam by way of RNAcentral.
GCCCUCGUAGCUCAAUCGGUAGAGCGCGCGCCUUUUAAGCGUUGAGGUUGUGGGUUCGAGCCCCACCGGGGGCA